RNAcentral lists this ribosomal RNA (685 nucleotides) under Salmonella enterica subsp. enterica serovar Infantis. RNAcentral describes it as "bacterial SSU rRNA". It matches the Rfam family "Bacterial small subunit ribosomal RNA", at positions 860 to 1533 of the family's 1533-position model. RNAcentral also lists the same sequence under 1 other name. The record is from RNAcentral. Lineage: Bacteria; Pseudomonadati; Pseudomonadota; Gammaproteobacteria; Enterobacterales; Enterobacteriaceae.
UUAAGUAGACCGCCUGGGGAGUACGGCCGCAAGGUUAAAACUCAAAUGAAUUGACGGGGGCCCGCACAAGCGGUGGAGCAUGUGGUUUAAUUCGAUGCAACGCGAAGAACCUUACCUGGUCUUGACAUCCACAGAAGAAUCCAGAGAUGGAUUUGUGCCUUCGGGAACUGUGAGACAGGUGCUGCAUGGCUGUCGUCAGCUCGUGUUGUGAAAUGUUGGGUUAAGUCCCGCAACGAGCGCAACCCUUAUCCUUUGUUGCCAGCGGUCCGGCCGGGAACUCAAAGGAGACUGCCAGUGAUAAACUGGAGGAAGGUGGGGAUGACGUCAAGUCAUCAUGGCCCUUACGACCAGGGCUACACACGUGCUACAAUGGCGCAUACAAAGAGAAGCGACCUCGCGAGAGCAAGCGGACCUCAUAAAGUGCGUCGUAGUCCGGAUUGGAGUCUGCAACUCGACUCCAUGAAGUCGGAAUCGCUAGUAAUCGUGGAUCAGAAUGCCACGGUGAAUACGUUCCCGGGCCUUGUACACACCGCCCGUCACACCAUGGGAGUGGGUUGCAAAAGAAGUAGGUAGCUUAACCUUCGGGAGGGCGCUUACCACUUUGUGAUUCAUGACUGGGGUGAAGUCGUAACAAGGUAACCGUAGGGGAACCUGCGGUUGGAUCACCUCCUUACCUUAAAGAAGC